AGAUGAGCUCAACGAGAACA
RNAcentral lists this small nuclear RNA (20 nucleotides) under Arabidopsis thaliana (thale cress). Its description in RNAcentral is "snRNA_06092". The record is from RNAcentral. Lineage: Eukaryota; Viridiplantae; Streptophyta; Magnoliopsida; Brassicales; Brassicaceae.